GACAGAGGGGGCAAGCGUUGCUCGGAAUCACUGGGCGUAAAGGGCGCGCAGGUGGUUCUGUAUGUCUACCGUGAAAGCGUACGGCUCAACCGUAUUUUGUCGGUAGAAACUGCAGGACUUGAGGCUGGGAGGGGCUGGUGGAAUUCCCUGUGUAGCGGUGAAAUGCGUAGAGAUGGGGGAGAACACUCGUGGCGAAGGCGGCCAGCUAGACCAGUUCUGACACUGAGGCGCGACAGCGUGGGGAGCAAACAGG
RNAcentral lists this ribosomal RNA (253 nucleotides) under uncultured bacterium. RNAcentral's name for it is "partial 16S ribosomal RNA". It matches the Rfam family "Bacterial small subunit ribosomal RNA", at positions 524 to 776 of the family's 1533-position model. The record is from RNAcentral.